RNAcentral lists this ribosomal RNA (395 nucleotides) under uncultured bacterium. RNAcentral's name for it is "bacterial SSU rRNA". It matches the Rfam family "Bacterial small subunit ribosomal RNA", at positions 505 to 898 of the family's 1533-position model. The record is from RNAcentral.
GUGUCAGCAGCCGCGGUAAUACGUAGGGAGCAAGCGUUGUUCGGAUUUACUGGGCGUAAAGGGCGCGUAGGCGGCGUGUUAAGUCAGCUGUGAAAUCUCCAAGCUCAACUUGGAACGGCCAGCUGAUACUGAUGUGCUAGAGUGCAGAAGGGGCAAUCGGAAUUCUUGGUGUAGCGGUGAAAUGCGUAGAUAUCAAGAGGAACACCUGAGGUGAAGACGGGUUGCUGGGCUGACACUGACGCUGAGGCGCGAAAGCCAGGGGAGCAAACGGGAUUAGAUACCCCGGUAGUCCUGGCCCUAAACGAUGAAUACUUGGUGUCUGGAGUUUCAAUACUCCGGGUGCCGUCGCUAACGUUUUAAGUAUUCCGCCUGGGGAGUACGCACGCAAGUGUGAA